This 430-nucleotide ribosomal RNA is filed under the name Leptopholcus kandy. Its description in RNAcentral is "partial 16S ribosomal RNA". The record is from RNAcentral. Lineage: Eukaryota; Metazoa; Arthropoda; Arachnida; Araneae; Pholcidae.
UUCUAUAAGAUAUAAUUUAUAGUACUGCCUGCUCAAUGUGAACAUUAAUAGCCGCAGAACAACUGUGCAAAGGUAGCGUAAUCACUUGSKUCWYAAUUAGAAGAUAGUAUGAAAGGCAAAACACCUAAAAUAUGUCUCUYUUAAUAAAAAUGAAUCUAUAAAUAAAGUUAAAAUACUUUUAAAAUGCAGCAGGACGAUAAGACCCUGAUAAACUAUAUACUUUUAGUUGGGGAAACAUAAUAACAACACUUUAUAAUUUUAUCCAUACACAACUAAAACAUUAAAUAAAGACUAGUUACUACAGGGAUAACAGCGCUAUUUCUUUUAAGAGACCUUAUCAAAAAAGAAGUUUACGACCUCGAUGUUGAAUUAAGUAACCCAAUAUAAAGCAAAAUUUUAUCGGGGUGGUCUGUUCGACCAUUAAUAACUU